CAGUAAUUCUUCCAGUGCGUUUCUACCUAAAUGUCAUUCAGAGUAUUUUCUGUACUCAUUUGGUUUUCAGCAUAUGAUUAAUUUUCAGGAAUUCAAGAAGUAUUAAAAGGAGAAAAAUGUAUGCCAGGACUCCAGCAUCCUGCCCUUCCAUUAUUUCAAAGAUGAAGGAACAAGAGCAUGGAACUAGAAAGUCACAGUUCAAAAACAACAAAAAUUUGUCACAUAAUUCUGAAAGGACUGUUUUGGCUGGGAUCAAAGAGAAAUUGAAGUUUCAUUGAAAGUGGGAGAAAAGUGGUGCUCACUCCUUCAAAUGGGUUUUUGAAGAUGUCAUCUCAUUAAAAUGAGGCCAUACUCAAUUACGGUGGACCCUAAUCCAACAACUAAUGUCCAUUUAAGAAGAGACAAGGACAGACACAUGGAACAAAGAGGGGGUGGAAGGAAUCACGUGAAGAGGAGUCAGAGAUUAGAGGAUCUACAAACUAAGGAACACAAAGGAUUCCUGGAAACACCCAGCAACUGGGAGAGAAGUGUGGACUGGAUUCUCCCUGAGCACCUCCAAAAAGGAAACAAGAUCUCAGACUAACAGCCUCUCAAAAAAACAAAUGAAAAGUUUGCAUUUUUUAUUUGUUUUGCCACCAGGUUUGUUGUACUUUGCUGUACUUUGUUACAGCAGCU
Long non-coding RNA from Sus scrofa (pig), 675 nucleotides. RefSeq lists it as uncharacterized. The record is from RefSeq and is a predicted model, not a curated record. NCBI's taxonomy places the organism in Eukaryota, Metazoa, Chordata, Mammalia, Artiodactyla, Suidae.